Molecule: long non-coding RNA, 155 nt
Organism: Hibiscus syriacus
Lineage: Eukaryota; Viridiplantae; Streptophyta; Magnoliopsida; Malvales; Malvaceae
Exons: 4
Source: RefSeq, a predicted model, not a curated record
AAAAUUACAAUAAAGGAAAUUGUACAAUUUUGAAAUAUGUUAGGACAUUUAACACGAAAGUACAUCCUUACUAGUAUAUCUUGACCUAUCCAAGCAAAGGAAACAUUGCGGUAAACAGCCCAAACAACAGCAAGUGUUAUGCAGAUAGGUGAAAC